Molecule: ribosomal RNA, 1135 nt
Filed under: Staphylococcus aureus
Lineage: Bacteria; Bacillati; Bacillota; Bacilli; Caryophanales; Staphylococcaceae
Description: partial 23S ribosomal RNA
Rfam family: Bacterial large subunit ribosomal RNA
Source: RNAcentral
UAAGGGCGCACGGUGGAUGCCUUGGCACUAGAAGCCGAUGAAGGACGUUACUAACGACGAUAUGCUUUGGGGAGCUGUAAGUAAGCUUUGAUCCAGAGAUUUCCGAAUGGGGAAACCCAGCAUGAGUUAUGUCAUGUUAUCGAUAUGUGAAUACAUAGCAUAUCAGAAGGCACACCCGGAGAACUGAAACAUCUUAGUACCCGGAGGAAGAGAAAGAAAAUUCGAUUCCCUUAGUAGCGGCGAGCGAAACGGGAAGAGCCCAAACCAACAAGCUUGCUUGUUGGGGUUGUAGGACACUCUAUACGGAGUUACAAAGGACGACAUUAGACGAAUCAUCUGGAAAGAUGAAUCAAAGAAGGUAAUAAUCCUGUAGUCGAAAAUGUUGUCUCUCUUGAGUGGAUCCUGAGUACGACGGAGCACGUGAAAUUCCGUCGGAAUCUGGGAGGACCAUCUCCUAAGGCUAAAUACUCUCUAGUGACCGAUAGUGAACCAGUACCGUGAGGGAAAGGUGAAAAGCACCCCGGAAGGGGAGUGAAAUAGAACCUGAAACCGUGUGCUUACAAGUAGUCAGAGCCCGUUAAUGGGUGAUGGCGUGCCUUUUGUAGAAUGAACCGGCGAGUUACGAUUUGAUGCAAGGUUAAGCAGUAAAUGUGGAGCCGUAGCGAAAGCGAGUCUGAAUAGGGCGUUUAGUAUUUGGUCGUAGACCCGAAACCAGGUGAUCUACCCUUGGUCAGGUUGAAGUUCAGGUAACACUGAAUGGAGGACCGAACCGACUUACGUUGAAAAGUGAGCGGAUGAACUGAGGGUAGCGGAGAAAUUCCAAUCGAACCUGGAGAUAGCUGGUUCUCUCCGAAAUAGCUUUAGGGCUAGCCUCAAGUGAUGAUUAUUGGAGGUAGAGCACUGUUUGGACGAGGGGCCCCUCUCGGGUUACCGAAUUCAGACAAACUCCGAAUGCCAAUUAAUUUAACUUGGGAGUCAGAACAUGGGUGAUAAGGUCCGUGUUCGAAAGGGAAACAGCCCAGACCACCAGCUAAGGUCCCAAAAUAUAUGUUAAGUGGAAAAGGAUGUGGCGUUGCCCAGACAACUAGGAUGUUGGCUUAGAAGCAGCCAUCAUUUAAAGAGUGCGUAAUAGCUC